This 506-nucleotide ribosomal RNA is filed under the name uncultured bacterium. Its description in RNAcentral is "bacterial SSU rRNA". It matches the Rfam family "Bacterial small subunit ribosomal RNA", at positions 21 to 518 of the family's 1533-position model. The record is from RNAcentral.
GGCUCAGGAUGAACGCCAGCGGCAGGCUUAACACAUGCAAGUCGAGGGGCAACGCGAGUAGCAAUACUUGGCGGCGACCGGCGCAAGGGUGCGUAACGCGUGAGCAACAUGCCCAUAUCAGGGGGAUAAUCCAGGGAAACUUGGUCUAAUACCCCAUAGUAAUUUUUGUAAGGCAUCUUAUAAGAUUUUAAAGCUUUGGUGGAUACGGAUUGGCUCGCGUGACAUUAGCUGGAUGGUAAGGUAACGGCUUACCAUGGCUAUGAUGUCUAGGGGUUCUGAGAGGAAGGUCCCCCACACUGGAACUGAGACACGGUCCAGACUCCUACGGGAGGCAGCAGUGAGGAAUAUUGGACAAUGGAUGGAAAUCUGAUCCAGCCAUGCCGCGUGAAGGAAAAGAAGGUCCUAUGGAUUGUAAACUUCUUUUGUAUGGGAGCAAUAAGGCCUACGUGUAGGUUGAUGAGAGUACCAUACGAAUAAGCACCGGCUAACUCCGUGCCAGCCGCUGC